AGAGUUUGAUCCUGGCUCAGGAUGAACGCUGGCGGCGUGCCUAACACAUGCAAGUCGAGCGAUUCACUUCGGUGAAGAGCGGCGGACGGGUGAGUAACGCGUGGGUAACCUGCCUCAUACACAUGGAUAACAUACCGAAAGGUAUGCUAAUACAAGAUGAUAUAAGAGAUUCGCAUGGAUUUCUUAUCAAAGCUCCGGCGGUAUGAGAUGGACCCGCGUCUGAUUAGCUAGUUGGUAAGGUAACGGCUUACCAAGGCGACGAUCAGUAGCCGACCUGAGAGGGUGAUCGGCCACAUUGGAACUGAGACACGGUCCAAACUCCUACGGGAGGCAGCAGUGGGGAAUAUUGCACAAUGGGCGAAAGCCUGAUGCAGCAACGCCGCGUGAGCGAUGAAGGCCUUCGGGUCGUAAAGCUCUGUCCUCAAGGAAGAUAAUGACGGUACUUGAGGAGGAAGCCCCGGCUAACUACGUGCCAGCAGCCGCGGUAAUACGUAGGGGGCUAGCGUUAUCCGGAUUUACUGGGCGUAAAGGGUGCGUAGGUGGUUUCUUAAGUCAGGAGUGAAAGGCUACGGCUUAACCGUAGUAAGCUCUUGAAACUGGGAAACUUGAGUGCAGGAGAGGAAAGUGGAAUUCCUAGUGUAGCGGUGAAAUGCGUAGAUAUUAGGAGGAACACCAGUAGCGAAGGCGGCUUUCUGGACUGUAACUGACACUGAGGCACGAAAGCGUGGGGAGCAAACAGGAUUAGAUACCCUGGUAGUCCACGCCGUAAACGAUGAGUACUAGGUGUCGGGGGUUACCCCCCUCGGUGCCGCAGCUAACGCAUUAAGUACUCCGCCUGGGGAGUACGCUCGCAAGAGUGAAACUUAAAGGAAUUGAUGG
RNAcentral lists this ribosomal RNA (879 nucleotides) under uncultured bacterium. RNAcentral describes it as "bacterial SSU rRNA". It matches the Rfam family "Bacterial small subunit ribosomal RNA", at positions 8 to 916 of the family's 1533-position model. The record is from RNAcentral.